AGACCCGAAACCCGGUGAUCUAGCCAUGGGCAGGUUGAAGGUUGGGUAACACUAACUGGAGGACCGAACCGACUAAUGUUGAAAAAUUAGCGGAUGACCUGUGGCUGGGGGUGAAAGGCCAAUCAAACCGGGAGAUAGCUGGUUCUCCCCGAAAGCUAUUUAGGUAGCGCCUCGUGAAUUCAUCUCCGGGGGUAGAGCACUGUUUCGGCUAGGGGGCCAUCCCGGCUUACCAACCCGAUGCAAACUGCGAAUACCGGAGAAUGUUAUCACGGGAGACACACGGCGGGUGCUAACGUCCGUCGUGAAGAGGGAAACAACCCAGACCGCCAGCUAAGGUCCCAAAGUCAUGGUUAAGUGGGAAACGAUGUGGGAAGGCCCAGACAGCCAGGAUGUUGGCUUAGAAGCAGCCAUCAUUUAAAGAAAGCGUAAUAGCUCACUGGUCGAGUCGGCCUGCGCGGAAGAUGUAACGGGGCUAAACCAUGCACCGAAGCUGCGGCAGCGACACUGUGUGUUGUUGGGUAGGGGAGCGUUCUGUAAGCCUGUGAAGGUGUGUCGUGAGGCAUGCUGGAGGUAUCAGAAGUGCGAAUGCUGACAUAAGUAACGAUAAAGCGGGUGAAAAGCCCGCUCGCCGGAAGACCAAGGGUUCCUGUCCAACGUUAAUCGGGGCAGGGUGAGUCGACCCCUAAGGCGAGGCCGAAAGGCGUAGUCGAUGGGAAACGGGUUAAUAUUCCCGUACUUGGUGUUACUGCGAAGGGGGGACGGAGAAGGCUAUGUUGGCCGGGCGACGGUUGUCCCGGUUUAAGCGUGUAGGUGUGUGUUCCAGGUAAAUCCGGUUCACUUUAACACUGAGGCGUGACGACGAGGCACUACGGUGCUGAAGCAACAAAUGCCCUGCUUCCAGGAAAAGCCUCUAAGCAUCAGGUAACAUCAAAUCGUACCCCAAACCGACACAGGUGGUCAGGUAGAGAAUACCAAGGCGCUUGAGAGAACUCGGGUGAAGGAACUAGGCAAAAUGGUGCCGUAACUUC
Molecule: ribosomal RNA, 1028 nt
Filed under: Salmonella enterica subsp. enterica serovar Virchow
Lineage: Bacteria; Pseudomonadati; Pseudomonadota; Gammaproteobacteria; Enterobacterales; Enterobacteriaceae
Description: partial 23S ribosomal RNA
Rfam family: Bacterial large subunit ribosomal RNA
Source: RNAcentral